AUAAGGAAUGGUAAUAAUUGGGAGACAGAUACAGAAAGAAAAAGAAAUAUUAUUUCCCAAUAAACCUCUUAGGGUGUCAUUUGCGAUCACGGGCAGAUACUAGAAACGCUACUCGUUAAAUCCACUGAACGUUACUUUUUCAGAAGUCGAAAUGUUUCUAGCCAAACUGCUUACUCGAUGGUUGCUUCGGAUGAACCAGUUCGAGCCAGGGCAGCCCAAGGAGAGAAGGAAACAAUUAAAACAUUCACGUAUUUGAUUCUUGAUAGACAUCUCUACAAGGUAGGUUUUAACUUUUUUUUUUUUUUCUUCUCAAAUUUUUUUUUUUUCCUUCUCUCUCUCUCUUUUUUUUUUUUUUUUUCAGUAAGAAGGAUAAGCUUGGAGUGCCCAGUCACCGUGGUAACUGCCAGAAAAAUUCUCCUGAAGUUUGAAGAGGUCAGCUAACGGGGUCAACAACUCUGGCCUCUCCCCGCGCUGGGGCUGGCAGGCUCCAUCCUGCGGCUGGGGCGUUAGCGCAGGCGGAGCCCUGGGAGGUGGACCAUUCCAGCUCUGAUAUAAAUUUUUUGAGUCAGUUCACGGCCUGGACUCUCCAGGUGGCCUCCAAAAUCGAUGGUGACCCCGUGACCCUGUCUAACGGAGGCAUAGCAUCCAACCUAAGUAAGGAUUUAGCCAGGAACGACAGCUUUCCACUGAGUGUUAUUGGGGACAGUACAAACAGUUUUGGAAGCGAGGAGCUCGGCCCCCUUCGGAACCCCAUUUCUGGCAAUCUCAGCAACACGUGGGGCUCUGGCAGCUUCUGCCGACGUUGCCAUCUUCCCUCCACCGCUCCUUCUUCUGCGCGGCGUCACCAGCUCCCCAGCCAGGCCAUUCCCAGGAGCCCCAAAUUAUGCCUUUCCUCCAUCACCUGCCCCACGGCUCUUCCAGAACCAGAUGCUCUUGUCCGAGUUGUUUCAAACCCUUCUAGGAAUAGACACUGAAAUGAAGGCAGGUGAUGUGGUGAUGGGGGGAGGUUCGGACGCUGCCUUCCUGCCCUGCCCUGGCCACAUGGCUGACCUUCCCCAGCGCUCGGCUCUUUGCCCGUAGAAUAAGAAUAAUAAUAAUAACAACUUUUAGCAAAGUUGCUUUUUUAGGUGUCUGAAAGAUGUCAGGCCGAUUAAAAGCUACUCAGAUUUUUUUGUCAGGCCUAACUCUGACUUACACUCUCCACCCUCCCCACUGCUGUCUUUCAGCUGCUGCAGAUUUGCCGAUGAGCCCUUUUGAGGCAGGUCCCUGCUUCGUGCCUCGCGCCAUUUGGGCUUCUAAACCAGCAGAAGCGGUUCCUCCGGCUGGUGAGUUGCUCCUGUAGUUUCCCGUUAUGCAACCCAUCUCCUUUUUGUGAAGCUGUGAAUUUUACAGCUGUCAGUGUCAGCAGCGGUGGG
RNAcentral lists this long non-coding RNA (1415 nucleotides) under Calidris pygmaea (Spoon-billed sandpiper). Its description in RNAcentral is "lncRNA (ENSCPGG00000013920.1)". The record is from RNAcentral. Lineage: Eukaryota; Metazoa; Chordata; Aves; Charadriiformes; Scolopacidae.